AAUAACUGUAGUUUUACACUAUUCACGUUCAAUGUUUGACCGUUCGUUUUAUUUAAAAAAAUUUUAUGAUUAGUAUUUUUAUUGCUAUUAGAUGAUAAAACAUGAAUAGUACUUUAUGUGUGACUAAAUAUUUUCAAAUUUUUCAAAUAAGACGGACGGUCAAACGUUGGGCACGGAUAUUCACGACUGCAUUUAUU
This 197-nucleotide microRNA precursor is filed under the name Oryza rufipogon (brownbeard rice). RNAcentral describes it as "MIR812 microRNA precursor family". It matches the Rfam family "MIR812 microRNA precursor family". The record is from Rfam by way of RNAcentral. Lineage: Eukaryota; Viridiplantae; Streptophyta; Magnoliopsida; Poales; Poaceae.